AUUGAACGCCAGCGGGAUGCUUUACACAUGCAAGUCGAACGGCAGCGCGAGGUAAGCUUGCUUACCUUGGCGGCGAGUGGCGAACGGGUGAGUAAUGUAUCGGAACGUGCCCAGUAGCGGGGGAUAACUACUCGAAAGAGUGGCUAAUACCGCAUACGCCCUACGGGGGAAAGGGGGGAUCGCAAGACCUCUCACUAUUGGAGCGGCCGAUAUCGGAUUAGCUAGUUGGUGGGGUAAAGGCCUACCAAGGCGUCGAUCCGUAGCUGGUUUGAGAGGACGACCAGCCACACUGGGACUGAGACACGGCCCAG
This 311-nucleotide ribosomal RNA is filed under the name uncultured bacterium. RNAcentral describes it as "bacterial SSU rRNA". It matches the Rfam family "Bacterial small subunit ribosomal RNA", at positions 30 to 334 of the family's 1533-position model. The record is from RNAcentral.